GAAUGCCACAAAAUGCCCAGCUAGUAAUUUUCCCAGAGGUAAUGAAAUACAAAAGAAUAAAGUUGGAGCUAAAGUCUUCUUGAAGAUUCCCUACAAGGAAGAAUUGCCAGACUCCAAGGAUUUUCGCUUACUCGAAGAAAGUCAUAAAUGACUAGCCUGGCCAGCAAACACACAGAGACCCUGCUCCCCACUCCCAAAGGUGGA
This 204-nucleotide long non-coding RNA is filed under the name Homo sapiens (human). Its description in RNAcentral is "HSALNT0115629". The record is from RNAcentral. Lineage: Eukaryota; Metazoa; Chordata; Mammalia; Primates; Hominidae.